This 6122-nucleotide long non-coding RNA is filed under the name Solanum lycopersicum (tomato). RNAcentral describes it as "long non-coding RNA (SLYC_LNC000266)". The record is from RNAcentral. Lineage: Eukaryota; Viridiplantae; Streptophyta; Magnoliopsida; Solanales; Solanaceae.
AUUGGCCUUUAGUUUUAAAUUUAUAAAAGGAUCCCUUAUUUUGGAUCUAACAUUCAUGUAAAUUUUAAAAAGUUUUGAGUAAAAGAUCAAUUGUCGAUGAAGAAAAAUACUUUAAUUAUGAUGAAUCUCUUCAAAUCAGAUUUGUCAAAAAAAUCGAAUGAGAUGAUUUGCCAUCACACAAAUUUAUUUUAGAAAAAAAUUAAAAAAUCUUUUAGUCAAUACCACUUAAAUUUAUCAAUAUUAAAAAUAUUUAUAUUAAAAAAAAGUUUUGCACUUAAUGAAAUGAUUUAAAAUUAUUUCAUUAAGACCACUGUAAAAAAUAAUUUUAUAACAAAUAUUGAACCCAUACAAUUUUUCAUAAGUAAUAAACUUGAGGCAACAAUGGAAUUCUUUCAUUUUUGGAAGAAGUCAAAUUCAAGUCCACACACAUUUUUUUCUUCUUUCUUAAUUUGUCCAUCAAUUUUACAUUAAAUUUGUGUAAUGAUUCGCUUCGAUUAUUAUGAGUAAGUCAAUAGUGAAAGAAUCAAGUUGGAAAUUUUUUUGAUUAGUAAUUUAAAUUUUUUAGGCUAGACUAGUGUUAGACGACAUCUGAGCCAGGUGAGGUGUAGGGAUAUUCAAAAAUGUGUUGAGUGAUAUGACUAGUCUUGGGUUACGUUCCCUAGUCACCAAGACAUUGUGAAUCCAUAAGGCCAUUCAGAAUUAAAUUUGGGUGAGUAAAACUUUUUGUAUCGAAUUUGUCGUGAAGCUCUUGGUUUAGAACGUCAAUAUUCGAAGGUGUACAUGUUGUAAAAUGAGGAUUUGAGGGAUUAUAUAUAUGAGGUUCUGCCUCCGUGCAAGCCGCUAUAGCGGGAUGAAUUAAUUCAUACAUCUGCUAUAGCGUGUUGGGCCGCUAUAGUAGACUUAGUCAAGAUUUUGUGCAGAAAAACCACAAAAAACUCCCAAUUUUCGCAAUUUUAUUCUCAAGACUUGGAAGAGCGAUUUUGGACAACUUCCGUUAGUAAUUCCACCAAAUUCUUCGCAAAGGUAAGUUAAUUACUUCACCAACUUGUUAUUUGAUCCUUAAACUUUAGAAUGUAGGUUAUUCAUUGGAGAACAUUUUUUUAACUCUAAAUUCAAGGGUGAGUCAUUUCCUUCGGGCUGCUAUGAAUUCUUCAUCAUCUUCUUGGUCCAUUUUUCGAACUCAAACAUCGAUCUGGACUUGCAUUUUUCAUUUUUGUUUUCCGGUUUCAUUCCUAUUCUAGACUGUAGAUGUUUUGGUACUAUAACUUUCAGGUUCUAAGGAGUUUAUUUGUGCACUUGAGUUCUUCUAAAAUUUGAAUUUAUGGGAACUCAAUCUUUUAAUCGUUUAAAGACAAUUUUUAUUAGUUUUUUUAUACAAUAACUCAGUUUCAACAUGUGCAUUUUAACAAAUCAAGAAAGGAAAUUAUUGUUUUUACAUAUUAAUUAUACCCUCAAUUAGUUACAAUUUUUAUUAGUUUUUUAUACAAUAACUUAGUUUGAACAUGUCCUAUUUAAACAAAUCAAGAAAGAAAAUUAUUACUUUUACAUAUUAAUUAUACCCUCAAUUAGUUACAAUUUUUAUUAGUUUUUUAUACAAUAACUCAGUUUCAACAUGUCCUAUUUUAACAAAUCAAGAAAAAAAAUUAUUACUUUCACAUAUUAAUUAUACCCUCAAUUAAUUACAAUUUUUAUUAGUUUUUUUAUACAUUAACUCACUCUCAACAUGUCCAUUUAACAAAUCAAUAAAGAGAAUUAUCUUUUUUACAUAUUGUAAUUUUAAUUAAUUACUUUAAAAAAUAUAAAUUAUUUUGAAAAUCUUACACUUUUAAUUCAUACACUUAAAAAUUAAUAAUUAAUAAGAAUAAAAUGAUAAACUCUAAUAAAUGUGACUAUUCAAAAGUAAAACAAAUAAUUAGCGAAAAAUAGAGUAGAUAAUUGUGAGGACAAAGAGGAGACAGACAGCAGUUAAUUCUGUUAAUUUUUUUUUCUUAAAAAAAAUGAUUACUCAAAAGAGAGACAAAAGUGAUUAGACAUGUUGAAAUCAACCUCUAAAUCGAAUCUUUUGAUAAUUACGUUUCUAUAAUAAAUAAAAAAAUAAAAAAUAAAAAGAAGCUUAGAAAAUGACAAUUUGAUGGGACCAAAGAAAUAGCCCUUUAGAAGACUUGUGUCAAGAUCCUAAUGGAUAAAUUUUAUUUAUAGUUAGAAUCUCACACAAGGAAUUUAGAACAUAGAAGAUAAAUUUAAAUUUCCACAAAAUAGAUAAUUAUUAAAUAAAUAAAAGAAAGUUCAAGAUAUUUCAUACAAAAAUCAAUAAAGUACUCUCUUCUCCGUUUACUUUUACUUGUCGCUUAUUCUUAAAUUCUAAAAAAUAUUUAAUAUUGUUUUACCCUCGUUAUUAAAUAUGUAUUCUCUAAAUCAUUUUCCAAUACUAAUAUUAAAUAUAAUAUAAUAGGGAUAGUUUGAUAAAAUACCUAUAUUAAUAAUUAUUCUUUUAAUAAGUGUAACGUGUCAAGUCAAAACAUUGACAAUGUGAAAUUAAACGGAGGAAGUACUAGAUUUAAAUUGGAGAAAAAAAAAUCUAGUAAGUUCAUAUAGUAAAUGAUUAGUUUUUGUGAUCUUUAACGAAGGUGGAUUACUUAUGAUUAAUAUUUUUCUAGGCUGAUAAAAUUUUGAAGAUGAGGUGCAUGUGAUAUAUAAAUUUUAAAUUCUAACUCGAACAGGGCUGUAGGGUUGUGUGCACUGGCGGAGCCACCUUAAAAUUAGGGGGUUCAUUCGAACCUUAAUCCGCGGAAAAUUAUAUUAUAUUUACAUGGUUAAAAUAACUUUUUUAUGUAUGUAUAGUAGAUGUCGAAUCUCUUUCGACUACUUCGUAUGUGUAUUUCUUCAUAUUUUAAACUCUUAUCGAAAAUUCUGAAUCCGCCAUUGAUUGCGUGGGUUGGGGGCCGGGUGGGGGUUGUUGUUUGAGAAUGAUGUUGUCCCUUCACAUAUCUAUCCCAUGAAUGUCUCCAUGUAUAUAGAAUUGCCCUUAGCUUAUGGAAGUGAACAAAGUGAAAAUAUAUAGACACAUCAGGAAAUAUAUAUAAUGACCCAUAAAUUAUUGUUUGUUGUUUUAUUUGCUAAAAGAUGUAUAGAUGAUAAGAAUAUGAAGUCCUUACUCAAUUCACCAACAAGGAAAAUGUUUUUUUUCCCGAUAUUUGUAUUAGUGUUAGACUGUCAAAUACAUAUAUACAUUACGUAAUUCAUUUUGUGGACAUUGCCUUUUGCAUUAUUUUUUUUCUUAAAAAUUCUGAUUCGAAAUCUUUAAUAAAGAACGACAAAGGAAAACAUAAUUUUUUAUUAUUAUCAUGAGUAUUAAGGUUUUAUUAUUCCUCCCAAAAUUCACAAUAAUUGGUUUUAUUCCUUCCAAUUGGUUUGAAUGUUAAGAUAAUCAAAGUUGUGGUAAACACUUGUGAUUGGGGAGAAUAAUCUAUACGUCAUUCACUUAUAUAAUUAAAUUAUUGCAUGUUACAUCAUUACAUUCUUAUCGACUAAUUAAUUAAUUAAUUAAUACGUUAGACACAAAAUUUGAUUUUGCAUUGAUUUUUAUUCGUUUAUAUAUAGUGACAAUCAUUAAAGAAAUAAUAUAUUGAUGUUUGGAUAGACCCAAAAAAAGUCAUAUACAUUAAAGUAUUUUUUAUAUUUAGAAUUUUGAAAAUAUCAAGACAUUUAGUUUUAAUUGAAGAAGUAUAUAACACAAUAAUAACAAUUUUUUCAAAAAAAAUACUUAUACGAAAUGUUUACAUCAAAUUAAAAUAAUUUAUCAUAGUUAAAUGAUAAAACUAAGUCGAGAAAAUAAUUAAGACAUUACGAUUGGUUGAUCAUGAUAUUACUAGAACAAAUAAUCCCGAUAUAAAAUAUCACAUGAGAUAAUCCAAUGUUUUGUAUGGUUGAUUGCAUGUGAAAAAAUAAUCGUUGCAUAACUAAUAAUAUAAUGUGUGAUUGACAAUAUAUGAGAAUUAUUCAAAAAAAAUUGCAUACUAUUUUAUGAGAGUUUGAUUUGUGAAAUAAUAAUAAUAAUAUGUUUAGCAUUAAUAUGGCAACUAAUAACCACAUGAUAAUAAUCUCUUCAUUAUUAAUCUCGGUAUUAGGAGGCGAUUUCUACAUUAUAAUUUACGUUUAAUUAAUUAGCCUAUAUAAAUUAUGUCUAAUCAAUUCUAUGAUUAGGUUGUCUUGAAUAAGAAGAUACAUGUAUAAUAUAAAAAAUUAUAGAACAUAAUAUAAUUAAGUAAAGGGGGAUUAGAUUAAUUAAAGAAUCUAAUAAUUGAGUUAUGUUUAAAAACAUGCAUGUGGGAUAUAUAUAAAAAAAAAAAUGAUUAGUAGGUUGUACGUAACAAUUAAUUGCCAUGCAACGUACAAGAGAAAAACAAACACAUAAAGACAACAAGAGGAAACUAGUAUAUUGUGUGGGGUAUUUUUUUGGUGGGUUAUUGUGGGGGUGGGGUGGGGGGUACUUCUAAAAAAGAUAUUUUUUCAUUGAAAUUUCUCACUUAAAAAUGUUUGCUGGCGAUGCCCACAAAUAUUACGAUUCAAUCAGUGAGAAUAGAACAAAUAUAUAGUAAUAUUUUUAUAUGAACAGAAAAUUAGGAAGCUUUCUAUUAUUUUAGUGUAAAUUUAUUUUUUACUAUGUGUUUUCUUAGUGAGAUGAUUUAAUGGAAAAGUGAGUGAGUUAUAAUAUAAUGACCCGGAAGAUCAUUUUUAAAACAUUUUACCCCUCUCGAUAGUUUUCUCAACUCAUUUAUGAUAAGUGUGAGAAUUUGGUAUUUUUUAAAAUCCGAUGUCCCCGAAGGGAAUGGGAAGUUGGUAUUGAAGUUUGAGUAUAAAAUUGUAAUUUUUGGAAGUUUUGUGUUUUAAAAGGCUUAAAUUGUUUUAAAGUGUUUUCUUUAGUAACAAUAGAAGUUUUGAGUCUCAAAAUGAAAUUUCAACAGUUCCACAAGCCCCAGAAUGUGGAAUUUGAUAUAGGAGAGUCAUCAGUUUCAUAUUCAAUUUUUUUUUUUUGAAUUUGAGGUCUUAAAUUGAAGGUUGAUGUAAUUUAGUCAUUUGGUUGAUUUGGCCACAUUUAGAAUUUGGAUAUUUAGAUCAAUUCUAUAUUAUGAUAAAAGGGUGAUAAAAUAAAGGCAACUUAAUGAUAUAUUGACGUGGGAUAUGUGCGGAUAACUUGAAUUUUUGUAUUGAUUUGUUAUUGGUGUUGUAACACGACUAUGUUGAUGUAGAUUGUGUGUUGAUAUGCAAAGCAUCAUAUUCUCAUGAAUUGUGUGAACAUGCCUAUUUGCAGUGGUUUCAAAACACUAUGGUGAGAUCUUUGAGAUAAAAUAACGAUGGAAAAUGAUUUCGGCAAGUUGUAUAUCGAGGGGUCAUACCACACACUUCAUAGCAUGUUCUAUAUUGAGGGUCGAGCCACACACUCGUGGAAGGUUCUAUUAAGGGGUUGGGUUACACGGUCUAUAGCAGAUGCAUGAACUGAUAAGUCCCCCAUAAAUUCUGUAUGAGUCUCAGUGAAUUAAUAUGUAUCACGGGACAAACAUGAAUCAUUUUUCAUGACAUUUCAUUGCAUAUCAUUUUUAGCUGUGAACUUGUGUUGUGAAACUUGUGAUUGAUGGAUGCAGUAUUUUGUGUUGAUGACCUAUAUUCGUUGAAGUGUUGUUAUAAUGCUACUUGCUAUAUGAAUUGCGAACAGUUAGAUUGGACUAAUUUCAUUGCAGAUUGUAGUUUGUGGAGGUUCAGAUGGGUUGUUAUGAGUGUUCGUAUUCUAUUCUAUUUUGCAUGGUGUUUGUUGGUUUGCUUGAUGAGUUUUCGUGUUAUUUGAUACUCAUUCAUUUCUUCUACACUUGUGCAGAUUUUGAACUCGAAUCUUCGUGAUUUAUCUUUUUCCUAUACUUCGCAUGAGGCUUUUCUAUGGAGACUUGAACGGUAGCUCAACGACCCUCUUGCUGAUCCUUUGCUAUGUUCUUGUUCUACUCUAUAAACAAAGACAUUGAGAUUAUUUGUAUUUCAUUUUAAUUAGUUGUAAUACAAAAGAGGCUUGUACACAUGUGACAAUCAUGUUUUUGGGGUAUCAUUGAGAUUGACUAAAUUAUCUGGAUUUA